ACAUACUAAUCAUUAAAGUAUUUGCAUUUCCCCAUGUCUUACUUGUUUGGUGAUAUUUCAGUCGCGGAAGCAUUAAAGUGGACUUCCUUGUGCGUUUCAACUCACCCACACCCAUUGCCAGCGGUGCCGUCCUGAAUGUGCUGUCAGGAAUGACAGACAUCGGUGGUCUGCGGACAGAUGGCACUGCCACCAGCAUCACAGAGGUGAACGUGGAUGGAGAAGUGAACAAUCUAGGUGUAUGGUUCCAGAACCCUGUCUACAUCUUAGUCAUCUGUGUUGGCGCUGUAGCCAUCUUUAUAGCUACUGUGUUACUGGUGAUCCGCUUCACUUCAAAGGUAACGUAGCUGUCACAAAAUCUAGAGGUAGAU
This is a long non-coding RNA of Branchiostoma belcheri (Belcher's lancelet), 368 nucleotides long. RefSeq lists it as uncharacterized. The record is from RefSeq and is a predicted model, not a curated record. Lineage: Eukaryota; Metazoa; Chordata; Leptocardii; Amphioxiformes; Branchiostomatidae. The transcript has 3 exons.